This 2435-nucleotide ribosomal RNA is filed under the name hot springs metagenome. RNAcentral's name for it is "bacterial LSU rRNA". It matches the Rfam family "Bacterial large subunit ribosomal RNA", at positions 14 to 2546 of the family's 2925-position model. The record is from RNAcentral.
AGAGCACACGGUGGAUGCCUUGGCACCAAGAGGCGAUGAAGGACGCGGCUACCAGCGAAAUUCUUCGGGGAGCAGGAAGCAUGCUGUGAUCCGGAGGUGUCCGAAUGGGGGAACCCGGCGGGGGUAAUGCCCCGUCAUCCCGAAAGGGAGGCGAACCCGGGGAAUUGAAACAUCUAAGUACCCGGAGGAAAAGAAAGCGAAUGCGAUUCCCUUAGUAGCGGCGAGCGAAACGGGAACAGCCCAAACCAGUCUGCAUGCAGACUGGGGUUGUAGGACCUCAUCAAAGCUAUCCGUAGGUGUAGUUGAACUGUCUGGAAAGUCAGGCCAUAGAAGGUGAUAGCCCUGUAAACGAAACAUCGAAAGAAGCGAGAGGUAUCCUGAGUACCACGGAGCAAGUGGAAUUCUGUGGGAAUCUGCCCGGACCACCGGGUAAGGCUAAAUACUACUUGGUGACCGAUAGCGAACCAGUACCGUGAGGGAAAGGUGAAAAGAACCCUUCAGAAGGGAGUGAAAUAGAACCUGAAACCGUGUGCUUACAAACGGUGGGAGCAAAUCGUAGCAAUACGAGGAGUGACCGCGUGCCUUUUGCUUAAUGAACCAACGAGUUGCUCGUUACGUGCAAGGCUAAGUGUCUCCGUAGACACGGAGCCGUAGCGAAAGCGAGUCUGAAUAGGGCGCCAUAGUACGUAGCGGCAGACGCGAAACCGGGUGAUCUAUUCAUGGCCAGGAUGAAGCGUGGGUAACACCACGUGGAGGUCCGAACCGGUGUGGGUUGAAAACCGCUCGGAUGAGCUGUGAAUAGGGGUGAAAGGCCAAUCAAACUCGGUUAUAGCUCGUACUCCCCGAAAUGUAUUUAGGUACAGCCUUGCGUUAGUGUCCAGGAGGUAGGGCUCUGAUAGGGCUAGGGCCGUUACCACGGUACCGACCCCUGAUAAACUACAAAUGCCUGAGACAUGGUGCGCAGGAGUGAGGCAGUGGGGGAUAAGCUUCAUUGCCGAGAGGGGAACAACCCAGACUAUCGACUAAGGUCCCCAAGUAAAUGCUAAUAGAUAAAGGAGGUUCAGUUGCAUAGACAGCCAGGAUGUUGGCUUAGAAGCAGCCAUUCAUUUAAAGAGUGCGUAAUAGCUCACUGGUCGAGCGACUGAGCGCCGACAAUACUCGGGACUAAGCAUUUCACCGAAGUCAUAGGAUGCUGCAAUGCAUCGGUAGGGGAGCAUUCUGUAACGCGUCGAAGGUGCAUCGUGAGGUGUGCUGGAGCAUACAGAAGAGCAAAUGUUGGUAUAAGUAACGAUAACGGAAGUGAGAAUCUUCCGCGCCGAAAGUCUAAGGUUUCCUUGAGCUCUGUUCGUCAUCUCAGGGUUAGUCGGCCCCUAAGACGAGACCGAAAGGUGUAGUCGAUGGGAAUCAGGUAACUAAUAAUAUUCCUGAACCACCAAAAACUUUAAACACAGGGACGCAGGAGCACAGGCUAUAAUAGUUAAUGGCUAUCUCUUAUAGCUGUAGCACACUGCCGAGAAAAGCUGUGUGUAUAGUUUAGGUGACCGUACCGGAAACCGACACAGGUAGACAGGUUGAGUAUACUCAGGCGCGCGAGUGAGUCGCUGUUAAGGAACUCGGCAAAUUGACCCCGUAACUUCGGGAUAAGGGGUGCCACGGCAACGUGGCCGCAGAGAAAUGGCCCAGGCGACUGUUUAACAAAAACACAUCUCUCUGCUAACUCGUGAAGAGGAAGUAUAGGGAGUGACACCUGCCCGGUGCUGGAAGGUUAAAGGGAGGAGUCAGCCGCAAGGCGAAGCCCCGAACUGAAGCCCCAGUAAACGGCGGCCGUAACUAUAACGGUCCUAAGGUAGCGAAAUUCCUUGUCGGGUAAGUUCCGACCUGCACGAAUGGUGUAACGAUCUGGGCACUGUCUCAACAGCGAGCUCGGUGAACUUGUGGUACCGGUGAAGACGCCGGUUACCCGCACUGGGACGGAAAGACCCCAUGCACCUUUACUGCAGCUUAUUAUUGGCUCUGAUUGCAUCAUGCGUAGGAUAGGUGGGAGACUGUGAAGCGGAGCUUGUGGGCUUCGUGGAGUCACCGGUGAAAUACCACCCUUGAUGCAGUUGGAUUCUAACCUGGCAGAGUGGAUCUGCAGGGACAGUGGUAGGUGGGCAGUUUGACUGGGGCGGUCGCCUCCCAAAAAGUAACGGAGGCUUACAAAGGUCACCUCAGCACGGUCGGUAAUCGUGCGUAGAGUGCAAAGGCAUAAGGUGGCUUUACUGUGAGACCGACAGGUCGAGCAGUUGCGAAAGCAGGUCUUAGUGAUCCGGCGGUUCUGUGUGGAAGGGCCGUCGCUCAAAGGAUAAAAGGUACGCUGGGGAUAACAGGCUGAUCUUGCCCAAGAGUUCACAUCGACGGCAAGGUUUGGCACCUCGAUGUCGGCUCAUCGCAUC